Molecule: ribosomal RNA, 443 nt
Filed under: uncultured bacterium
Lineage: Bacteria
Description: SSU rRNA
Rfam family: Bacterial small subunit ribosomal RNA
Source: RNAcentral
AGAGCGAACGCUGGCGGCAGGCCUAACACAUGCAAGUCGAGCGCCCCGCAAGGGGAGCGGCAGACGGGAGAGUAACACGUGGGAACGUACCCUUCAGUUCGGAACAACCCAGGGAAACUUGGGCUAAUACCGAAUACGUCCGUAAGGAGAAAGAUUUAUCGCUGAAGGAUCGGCCCGCGUCUGAUUAGCUAGUUGGUGAGGUAACGGCUCACCAAGGCUACGAUCAGUAGCUGGUCUGAGAGGAUGAUCAGCCUCACUGGGACUGAGACACGGCCCAGACUCCUACGGGAGGCAGCAGUGGGGAAUAUUGGACAAUGGGCGCAAGCCUGAUCCAGCCAUGCCGCGUGGAUGAUGAAGGCCUUAGGGUUGUAAAGUCCUUUCGACGGGGAAGAUAAUGACGGUACCCGUAGAAGAAGCCCGGCUAACUUCGUGCCAGUAGCCGC